CGCCACCCUGGCCGGGGUGGGGGCAUGAACGGCCGGGUCCUGAUCGCCGCCGGUUCCGAUUCCGGCGGCGGCGCC
This 75-nucleotide transfer RNA is filed under the name mine drainage metagenome. Its description in RNAcentral is "tRNA-Gly". The record is from RNAcentral.